This is a small nuclear RNA of Homo sapiens (human), 108 nucleotides long. The record is from Ensembl. Lineage: Eukaryota; Metazoa; Chordata; Mammalia; Primates; Hominidae.
GUGCUUGCUUCAGCAGCACAUAAUACUAAAAUUGGACUUAUACAGAGAUGAUUAGCAUGGCCCAUGCACAAUGAUGACAUACAAAUUCGUGAAGAGUUCCAUGUUUUU